RNAcentral lists this transfer RNA (71 nucleotides) under Marmota monax (woodchuck). Its description in RNAcentral is "tRNA.Ala". It matches the Rfam family "tRNA". Rfam says of the family: Transfer RNA (tRNA) molecules are approximately 80 nucleotides in length. Their secondary structure includes four short double-helical elements and three loops (D, anti-codon, and T loops). The record is from RNAcentral. Lineage: Eukaryota; Metazoa; Chordata; Mammalia; Rodentia; Sciuridae.
GGGGUUGUGGCUCAGAGGCAGAGCGCUUGCCUGGCAUGUAUGAGGCACUGGGUUCAAUCCUCAGCACCGCA